RNAcentral lists this ribosomal RNA (951 nucleotides) under uncultured bacterium. RNAcentral describes it as "bacterial SSU rRNA". It matches the Rfam family "Bacterial small subunit ribosomal RNA", at positions 8 to 957 of the family's 1533-position model. The record is from RNAcentral.
AGAGUUUGAUCCUGGCUCAGGACGAACGCUGGCGGCGUGCUUAACACAUGCAAGUCGAACGAGAAUCUGUGGAUCGAGGAUUCGUCCAAGUGAAGCAGAGGACAGUGGCGGACGGGUGAGUAACGCGUGAGGAACCUGCCUUUCAGAGGGGGACAACAGUUGGAAACGACUGCUAAUACCGCAUGAUACAUUUGGGUGGCAUCAUCUGAAUGUCAAAGAUUUAUCGCUGAAAGAUGGCCUCGCGUCUGAUUAGCUAGUUGGUGAGGUAACGGCCCACCAAGGCGACGAUCAGUAGCCGGACUGAGAGGUUGACCGGCCACAUUGGGACUGAGAUACGGCCCAGACUCCUACGGGAGGCAGCAGUGGGGAAUAUUGGGCAAUGGGCGCAAGCCUGACCCAGCAACGCCGCGUGAAGGAAGAAGGCUUUCGGGUUGUAAACUUCUUUUAAGAGGGAAGAGCAGAAGACUGUACCUCUAGAAUAAGCCACGGCUAACUACGUGCCAGCAGCCGCGGUAAUACGUAGGUGGCAAGCGUUGUCCGGAUUUACUGGGUGUAAAGGGCGUGCAGCCGGGAAUGCAAGUCAGAUGUGAAAUCCAUGGGCUUAACCCAUGAACUGCAUUUGAAACUGUAUUUCUUGAGUACUGGAGGAGGCAAUCGGAAUUCCUAGUGUAGCGGUGAAAUGCGUAGAUAUUAGGAGGAACACCAGUGGCGAAGGCGGAUUGCUGGACAGCAACUGACGGUGAGGCGCGAAAGUGUGGGGAGCAAACAGGAUUAGAUACCCUGGUAGUCCACACUGUAAACGAUGAAUACUAGGUGUGGCGGGGACUGACCCCCUGCGUGCCGCAGUUAACAACAAUAAGUAUUCCACCCUGGGAGUACGAUCGCAGGUUGAAACUCAAGAAUUGACGGGGGCCCCCCACAACGGUUGAUUUAUGUGGUUUAAUUCGAAGC